Molecule: ribosomal RNA, 180 nt
Filed under: Drosophila erecta
Lineage: Eukaryota; Metazoa; Arthropoda; Insecta; Diptera; Drosophilidae
Description: 5.8S ribosomal RNA
Rfam family: 5.8S ribosomal RNA
About the family: 5.8S ribosomal RNA (5.8S rRNA) is a component of the large subunit of the eukaryotic ribosome. It is transcribed by RNA polymerase I as part of the 45S precursor that also contains 18S and 28S rRNA.
Source: RNAcentral
AACUUUAAGCCGGUGGACCAUUGGGUCCAGGGUUCGAGGAGGACGGCAGCAACUUGUGGGUCUUGGUGUGAACUGCAGGUCGACAUGAACAUCGACAUUUUGAACGCAUAUCGCAGUCCAUGCUGUUAUGUACUUUAAUUAAUUUUAUAGUGCUGCUUGGACUACAUAUGGUUGAGGGUU